UGGGGAAUAUUGCACAAUGGGGGGAACCCUGAUGCAGCGACGCCGCGUGAGUGAAGAAGUCAUUCGUGAUGUAAAGCUCUAUCAGCAGGGAAGAAAAUGACGGUACCUGACUAAGAAGCCCCGGCUAACUACGUGCCAGCAGCCGCGGUAAUACGUAGGGGGCAAGCGUUAUCCGGAUUUACUGGGUGUAAAGGGAGCGUAGACGGCAAUGCAAGUCCGGAGUGAAAGCCCGGGGCCCAACCCCGGGACUGCUCUGGAAACUGUAGAGCUAGAGUGCGGGAGGGGCAGGCGGAAUUCCUAGUG
RNAcentral lists this ribosomal RNA (303 nucleotides) under uncultured bacterium. RNAcentral describes it as "bacterial SSU rRNA". It matches the Rfam family "Bacterial small subunit ribosomal RNA", at positions 355 to 675 of the family's 1533-position model. The record is from RNAcentral.